UAGGGAAUCUUCCGCAAUGGACGCAAGUCUGACGGAGCAACGCCGCGUGAGUGAAGAAGGAUUUCGGUUCGUAAAACUCUGUUGUUAGAGAAGAACAGCGCAUAGAGUAACUGUUAUGCGUGUGACGGUAUCUAACCAGAAAGCCACGGCUAACUACGUGCCAGCAGCCGCGGUAAUACGUAGGUGGCAAGCGUUGUCCGGAUUUAUUGGGCGUAAAGCGAGCGCAGGCGGUCAAUUAAGUCUGAUGUGAAAGCCCCCGGCUCAACCGGGGAGGGUCAUUGGAAACUGGUUGACUUGAGUGCAGAAGAGGAGAGUGGAAUUCCAUGUGUAGCGGUGAAAUGCGUAGAUAUAUGGAGGAACACCAGUGGCGAAGGCGACUCUCUGGUCUGUAACUGACGCUGAGGAUCGAAAGCGUGGGUAGCAAACAGG
RNAcentral lists this ribosomal RNA (429 nucleotides) under Bacteroidota bacterium. Its description in RNAcentral is "Bacteroidetes bacterium partial 16S ribosomal RNA". It matches the Rfam family "Bacterial small subunit ribosomal RNA", at positions 355 to 776 of the family's 1533-position model. Lineage: Bacteria; Pseudomonadati; Bacteroidota. The record is from RNAcentral.